AGUCUAAGAAUUAAGGUAAAUUUAUUUGUUGAUUAACUUUUUCAUAUGAGUGAACGAUACACAGAUUAUACAAAUACAGCUUAAACUUGACCAAUUGUUUAUCAUAAAUUAUUAAUGUGUCACCCAUCCGCUGCUGAGCGGAUGACUGAUAAUGAUAUUAACCUUCAUGAAAAAUAUUUAAAGACUCGAUGCCAGUAGUCAAGCAUAGUUAGCAUUAAAAUAUACAAAACGUAAUUAUUUAGUGACCUGAUUUAACAAAAUAUGAUGGUGGACUUAUGUAGGUGUAUUAUUUGUUUAAUCACUAUUCUGGUCAGAGGAGGUGAAUCCCUCCAAUGUUGGUCAUGUUCUUCUAUCUAUGAGCCGGGCUGUGACGAUCCGUUUAAGCCCAACGAUCUUACGGCGGGAGCAGAGUAUUUUCUGUUCGACUGCAACCACAAUUAUAUAAAUGGAAGUAUGGAGGACCAGGAACUCAUGGAACAUGUAUUCGGUACUGACGCAAAACCCUAUUGCAGAAAAACAGUUCGUCAAGUAUAUGGGAUAACCAUCGUUCAUCGCGGAUGCUCUUUCGGUGACUUUUCUAAGGACUGUUCAAAUGGCCAUGGCACCUGCGAUAGCACAGCCUGCUACCAAGACGGCUGCAACGCGUCCACAACCCUCAGCCGAAUUACCUUGCUGUUUACACCUAUUAUUACAUUAUCACUCUUGUGUUAAAUUAAAAUACACUCCAAAAAGCCGCAGACACUAAACAAAAUUAAAGAAAGCAAGUAAAAUUCCUAUAGUAAAUAAGUUAAUGGUCGAUAUAUCAAACAUACUUACCAGAGCCUGAGCUUUAGUAAAAUAGGGCUGUCAUAUAGUAGGUGCCAAAUUAAGUAUGAAACCUAAGUGAUGUUAUGUUGCUUUUAUUUAUUCGUAUGGCAUUUACAGAGUCGCUUAAUUAUAAAUUAUAAUACAAUAUCUAAGUUCUUCACCCAUUGGGCAGCGUUUGUAUCAGGUGAGUGAAGAUCUAGGGCCUCUCCAAUUUCCGUAUCGGGCAAUUAUGUGUAAUGUGGUGUAUAGUCUGCACUGGGGCCCCGCAGUCGCAUGAUGCUGGUGAGUCUUGCCAACCACACUUAAACAAGUAGUCCGCACAGCGUCCAUGUUGGAUACGGAGUCUGUCUAAUUGGCAUCAUUCCUUCCUAAUGCUGAAAAGCCAUACGGCUUUCUGGUAGGGUCGUACCUACGAUAUUUAGGCUGGGCUUUGGCAGGUUGGAUUUCCACUCAUCUUUCCAAGUGUCUUUUAUAUUGAAUCCGCCUUGCGUCAGGUUUUGAGCGGAGGAGGAGAGGUUUUGAUAGGGCGGGUGUCGAGACUUCAGACGAUGCUGUGGUAGAUUAAGGAAUUCCUGGCGGAUCGGCAGAUUCGGGUCGCUGUGAAUUUUGUUCGCUUCUUUUACCAGUGCCAGUAGACGACAGUCUAAGAUGAGGUGGAGGGAUGUGGCUUAGGGCUGGGAGCCAUUGUAUGGGUGUGGAUUUGACCGUACCUGAGAUACAUCUCAUAAAAUCUCAAAAGUAUUACGCAGUUGCACAUCAACUUUCUCUGUGUGAGCACUAUUGAGCCAGACUGGUGCGCAGUAUUCGCCAGCAGAAAGCUCAGCCCAGUUGUACGAAGAACGUCCGCUUUUGCACCCUAAGUAAUGCCAGUUAAUUUGUGGAGUAUUUUGUUCCGAGUCCCAAGUUUUUUGCUCAGCUUUUGAAGGUGGGGGCCGAAAGUAAGUGAGCGGUCCAGGGUCACACAAAGAUAUUUAGGGUGCGGGUUGAAAGUUAAUAUUUCACCAUCAUAUGCUACCGUUGGGAUAGAAGCAGCUUGUUUGUUGUUGAGGUGGAACGUCGAAACUUUCGUUUUGCUGGCAUUAGGAACAAGACGCCAUUUCUUAAAGUAUUCAUUUAGAGAACCUUAAUCUUUGUUGAGCUGUUCUUCAGAUACCUCGAAUGUCUUGUGCUGGUGCGCAAUUGUGAUAUCAUCGGCAUACACACAUUUCCUAGAGACUGUUUUGGGUAGGUCAUAAGUAUAUAGAUUAAAGAGCAAUGGCGCCAGCGUGGAUCCCUGUGGUAACCCAUUGUUUAAGGUUCUAAGGCGACUCUGUUUAUCUCCUAGAUGGGCUACAAGUUCCCUGUUCCUCAGCAUAUUGUCAAUCAGUCUAACAAUUUUACGACACGGGACAGCUUUCAUCAACUUAUAGUAAAGUGCCUGUUUCUAUACGGUAUCGUAGGCUGCACUUAAGUCAAUAAAAGCAGCUACGGUUUUCAAGUUCUUCUGGUAGCCAGAUUCUAUGUGCGUUGUGAGAGACAGCACUUGAGCCGUGCAGUUACGUCCAGUUCUAACCCCUGCUUGUUCGACGGGGACUAUGCGAUCAAUGAGAGGGGUGAUCCUAUUCGAAAUUAGUUUUUCCAGGAGCUUGAAUAAUGCACUAAGUAAUGCGAUAGGUCUAUAGCUUUUCGAGUCUUCGGCUGGUUUAUCGGGUUUUAAGAUGGCUAUUAUCUUGGCAUGUUUAAAGCCUGGUGGCAGCGUGUUUCUUUCUAAUAUGUCCGUGUUGAAAGCAGCCAACCGCUUGCGGCAGUUGGCGCCUAAGUUCUUAAUUAAUUCAUUGUAAACGCCAUCUUCUCCUGCAGCUUUGCCCAAGUUAUGUUGCUGUUUUACUAGAACAAUUUUUAUUAUUCUUUGACCUUUGACCUUAAACUAAGUACAUUUCAAUACAUUUAAAUAACAGCAGUACUCUUACUACUCUGUCUGUACGGUUUGCUUUUUUUAAUAUUCUGGUUUUUAUAAGAACUAGAUUACUGCAAACAACGUUAAAAAUGGAAAAAAAUGCGCCGUAAACAGACGCCUAGCAUACAAAUUUGGCAAGAUUAAACGCAAAAAUCUAAACGAUAGGAUACAGAUUUCCUUUAUCAUUUCGUUCCCAAAAUUUCGUUACGAUUAAUUAAGUUUUGGAGGAGGAAAAUGUCAAUUAAGAAAUAAGAAAUCAAUUUAGUCUAGUACGAGUAAAUGUUUUUACUAUCGAUUUAAACUUAAAAAAAUAAAACCUAGUCACGGAAAAACCCGACAAAUUUCAAUAGGGAGUAAGUACAUAAUAGAAGGUGGGGAGGGUCGAUCCCUAGGGCACACUUCAUUUUAAAUUUAACCAAACGUGAUACACUUUUUUACGCUAGCAACACUCAUUUAUUCGUUCCUAACUUCACUUUCUGUCAUGGCGCUCUUUCGAAAAAAUCAGCGGUUUGAAAAUGGCGGACGGUGAAAGAAUUACUGCGUAUUAUAUUACAUCUUCGGUAGGUUGUAACUGGAUUUAUUUAAUAAAAUGAGAUGGAAAUGCUGUUAGUGAGUAUGCUUAUUUUAUUUAAUGUUUAUUGAAGUGUUGAUUAACACAAGAUUCAAGUACGGCACGUUUUAUAAUCUCACUAUGUAUGGGGAGACUUUGUUAUUUUUGGGGGAGAUAUGAUUCCAGGAUCAUGUCACCCCAAACCCUAAAACUGUACCUUGCAAUCAAUUAAUAUCACAAAUACUUAUUUUCUUUUCUUUAGGAAACCAUGCUUUAAAAGUAUACGACCAGAGAAACACUGAUUUAAACUUUGAAUACUUUUGACUCAUUAUUGUUUAUUAAACCGAGAUUUAAUUUGAUACAUAUAACUUUAAACAUUAUCAUUAUAGGUAACUAAGGUCUAACAAAAAUAAUCUUAAGUCUUUGCGUAUACUACUUGUUUACUUCUUAGACGGCCCGGCAACGGCCGCAGUCCAGAUGCUAAGAAAUUGUUCACUAUUCAUCCUUUGUUUACCUUGUCGUCAUGUUAAAAAUGAAGUUAUCUUGGAAUACAAAUAAAUAAAUGUAAUAAACUGCACAACAUGUUAAGUGUAAAUUGAUUGGUACGUGUUGAAAAUUAUAUGUAAGGACGGUUAAUCCUGACCCACCGUGAUACAGUUCUUACUAGUACGGGGGUCAGAUGACACUUACUUGCCUGUUGGUUUUGUACCAUUGAAAUUAUGUAAGUAAAACAAUGUAAGUAAGUAGUAUAAGCACCUUUAUUAACUCAAUAAAAUAUCUUUAUUUUUA
Molecule: long non-coding RNA, 4082 nt
Organism: Cydia pomonella (codling moth)
Lineage: Eukaryota; Metazoa; Arthropoda; Insecta; Lepidoptera; Tortricidae
Exons: 3
Source: RefSeq, a predicted model, not a curated record